Molecule: small RNA, 494 nt
Filed under: Cladosporium cladosporioides
Lineage: Eukaryota; Fungi; Ascomycota; Dothideomycetes; Cladosporiales; Cladosporiaceae
Description: eukaryotic LSU rRNA
Rfam family: 5.8S ribosomal RNA (bases 176-329)
Source: RNAcentral
ACCUGCGGAGGGAUCAUUACAAGUGACCCCGGUCUAACCACCGGGAUGUUCAUAACCCUUUGUUGUCCGACUCUGUUGCCUCCGGGGCGACCCUGCCUUCGGGCGGGGGCUCCGGGUGGACACUUCAAACUCUUGCGUAACUUUGCAGUCUGAGUAAACUUAAUUAAUAAAUUAAAACUUUUAACAACGGAUCUCUUGGUUCUGGCAUCGAUGAAGAACGCAGCGAAAUGCGAUAAGUAAUGUGAAUUGCAGAAUUCAGUGAAUCAUCGAAUCUUUGAACGCACAUUGCGCCCCCUGGUAUUCCGGGGGGCAUGCCUGUUCGAGCGUCAUUUCACCACUCAAGCCUCGCUUGGUAUUGGGCAACGCGGUCCGCCGCGUGCCUCAAAUCGACCGGCUGGGUCUUCUGUCCCCUAAGCGUUGUGGAAACUAUUCGCUAAAGGGUGUUCGGGAGGCUACGCCGUAAAACAACCCCAUUUCUAAGGUGACCUCGGAUC